Molecule: long non-coding RNA, 14292 nt
Organism: Clupea harengus (Atlantic herring)
Lineage: Eukaryota; Metazoa; Chordata; Actinopteri; Clupeiformes; Clupeidae
Source: Ensembl
AAUUACUACGUGUUAUGCGUUGGAAUCUGUACAGCACACAAUUGUGACAUCUUGUGGUUGUAAGGAUGAACGGAAAAACUCCCUCAUUUAUCAGUUUAUCAUUUUGAAUUAAGAGUUUUGGAGAUUAGGACAAGAUUUUCUUCGCUUGCAUGUUUCUUUGCAAGUAAAUGUUUCGUUUCAGAUUUGACAAAUGUCCCUAUAACAAAACUAACAACAGAAAAAGCGCAGUUUGACUCAGACAUCAGAUUCAACGACUAAACCUACUGGCUGUCAAAGCAGCAGGACUUUGCAACAGAGUACUGUCACUCUGUCACACUCUGCAAGGCAGAGUCAAGGACAGCAGGUGGUGCCAAAGACCAAACAGACUGCCUCUGGGGAAAAUCCCUGUCUUAGCAGUCAUGUCAACUGAUAUCCAUCACUGUUAAACACAUGUACUUUCUUAUUUCUUACAUAUGUAUUGAAAAUAUAUAUAGUUUUACUCAAUAUGAAUAUAUGUAUUUAACAUUACUUUAUAUUGGCACUGUGCUUGUGUCUCUCUGUAUGAAAUAAUUUGCAAGCAGAAAUAUCAUUGGUUGGAGUAUUUAUACACGUUGGCUCCACAUGUUGGUCAGUGUGUAAGAGCAAAAACAAAUGCCAAAAUGAGACCUGGUACCCUUAUUGUAGGUUAAACUAAUGUGCUUCUGUCUACGUGGGGUUGCUUGUAAGGAACCUAUUUCUCCCAGUGUUCUCAAGUAGGUGCCCUACAGCUACUAAGCAUCCUGAACUAAGAUUUCAUACCUCUAGCAAAUUAGUGAAGACUUCUGUGAAAUGGCCAUUUGAAGCCCCGCAACAGUAUAACUGCACUUGGCAGACAUGCACUUCAGUGAUGCCAUAAAAAUUCCCCAGAAUCCAAUUGGACUCCAAAUGUGAUUAUUGUGUCUGAUAUCGUGUUUUUCUAGUAGUCUACUAAUUUUUAACUAUUCCUUCUGUAACUUGCAGACUCACGGAAUGUAUCAGACCAAAGACCUUUCCUGCACAUUAUAGACUGCCUUCCGUAAUAUAGCAGAACUGUUAGGUGGGCAAAAUUAACAUUCGAUGGCCUUGUCGGAUCUAUUACGUGGACAGAAUUACUUUUGCCCACAAUAAAUUAGUUAAUUUUGUCCUCAAACUAAGAUGUCCAUUCAGCCUUUUUUCCACGACAGAAUGUGCUCUCCUCAAUGUUCCGUGGACACAAUGCUAACGCAUUUGUGCUUUUCGUGGACAAAUGGCAUUACGGUGUGGGUGACCAGACGUCCUCUUUUACCCGUACAUGUGUCAUAUGUGGGUGUUGAGUGACUGUAAGUGUGUUAUGAUGUUGCUUUGUUUUGUUGGGCACCGCCCCCUUGACUGGUGCGCCUCACGAACAUCUGAUGGCAUGGUACAGGUGCUGAUAAUUAUGUCUCUGCUUGAGAUCCUUUUAAAAAUGAGCACUGUCUGUGCAUGCUGGACAUCACGCAAGGAUGGCUAUAGUGUGAUAUAGAGCAUUUGUUAGUUUUUUGGCGUUUGCGGGUUACCCGGACGUCUGUUGUUCGAGAUCCGAAGUUGGCUGUUUCCCUACUGCGUUGGAGUGGAGGCUGUGUGGGAUCCGCCGCUUCUGCGUUCGUGGGUUGCCAGGAAAAAUCUGAUCUGAGUUGUCCGUUGACUGAGAGAAGCGUCAUUGAACACUGACUGGGAACUAGAUUCGUCUGCUCCCGGUUCAAUAGUGUGUGCCUUUGUCUGCUAAUAAACUGAGUGAGUUACGUUUUAGCACUAUACAACGUAGAGCCGUUAUUGGCUAUUGUCUUUGGGUUGAUUUACUUUUGGUUGACAUUAUUACUUUUUAGUGUGUCGGUUAUUUACUUUCUGUUUGCUGUGAGUGUGCAUUGCCACUUGUGGAGAUUCUGGCGAUUCUCUCUCUCUCUGUGUGCGUGCUUUGCAGACCAAAAAAAGCAGCUACGGUGCGGUGGUGGAUGCUGACGGACUUUGCUUGCGGACUUUUGGAUACUGCGGACUCUUGGACAUUGUGGACUGUGCUUCCUUCGGCAGCCUGAUUCACAUGGACUUAGAUAACUUUGGGUGUAUUUUAUAUUUUAGAGCAAGCUUGUAAUAAAUACUAUAUUUUUGUAUCAGAAACUGAAGUCUUGAUGAAUCUGGUGUUGCUCCCACUAAACAAAUAACCUAAACAGUGAAAAGUAAACUAGUCCCAUCUCUGUAAACUGGGUGGCGUAGUCGGUCUACACUGCCGCACUCCCGUUACACAUGCCCUCUUUUCGAGACCUAAAAAAUGCAUCCGGCAGAGAUUCCAAACUCGUCCGGGAUUUUGCCUCGUCGGAUAUUUGUGUUUCUCUGGGUCUUUCACAAACUAGUUAUUACGCCCUUACAAGUUUUGGAAAGGGUAUCUCCCUCACGUUCCACCUUCUUGCGCGAGCUCUGACUAGACUAGAGAACUGUCAUUGGUCGACUGCUUUCUCAGUGUUGCCUGAUGUACGAUACUUAUCCUCCAAAUACGAUAAUCUUGAGCCUUUGGUUUGAUACUUUGCCAUUCCCAAUCUGGCAACACUGAGCACCUUGCCGCCUCGCUAGUUGCAUUGUUUAGAACAGCACAUGACAUGGAUGUGAACAAUGUCACAACUUCCAGGGGGCGGGGUCAUCUGCAUGUGAAAAAUGUUAAAACUGCUACACACUACUCUGCCCCCUCCCCCGCUACGAAGUGUCCUCUUUUUCACAAACUCAAAUCUGUCCACCCUAGAUAAAUGCAUUUGUUUAUUGUUGAUAAAGGCAUUUGGUACAUCACAUAAUGCGUUCUGUCUAUUAAAUAAAGUCUGUUACACAUGGCGUCUCACUCUAAAUUUCGUUGUAUGCAAAUACAAUGACAAUAAAGGCUUUUCUAUUUCUAUGUGCACCUCGCUAGCACACCUGCCUCCAAUGUCCAAGGUUGCGAGUGUGAGUCCGGUGCAGGACUGAGCUGUCACGCAACACAGGUUCCGCAACCUCUCUAGUUGAGGCUCAGCGCUGCUCCUCCAACCAAUACAUGUUUGCCAACACAGUUUGAACCAUUAGGGAUUAUACAUGUUCAGCCUGAUGAUUUACUGUUUAUAAAAUUUGAAAUAGUAUUACCUCAGGAAUUUAUGUCACUCGAUUUCUCCCAUUGCUAAGAAGGCCGUUUCCUGGUGAGAAGGCGCAGGAGCAAUGGCUAAUAAUACAGUGUAAUCUUGUCAAAGGUGCUUAUGUUCCAGAGACCUGUGACUGUAUAUGGAUUAUAUUGUUGAAACCAUAUUUACCAGGUUGUUAUCAGUGUCAUGGUAUGUUGCUUUUUUCUCUAUCCAUAUUGAUAGAAUUAAUUUCAAAACAUGACUUAAGUGCCUUGUAUUAACAAUUACCUUGUAUGAAUCAUGUGCUUAUUUCUGUAUUUCUGUGUGUGUGUGUAACCUAGAUUAUUAGGUGCUGACACCACUUAGUCUGCAUAUGUUUGGGUGAGCUCAGAGGUGAUAAGAAGGGUCGAAUUGUGCUUGUUCGACCGUGUGUAAAACUGACAUUCUUGCAUUAGAGAAAGCGGAGUUGGGAUGACACAAAAGGACUUUUAGUCGAGCGUGGCUAUUCUUGCUGACAUUUGAAACAUUUAUGACGUCAGUUAGAUAAAUCUUAAAUAUAUAAAUCCUGUGCGAUGUUUGUGAAAUGGCUUCACUUUCAUCUUUGUGCUGUGAGUGAGCCCGACAGUUGUUGCUGAAUAAAUAUACUGAUCUACAACUCUGGAGUCCUGAGAUAACUUGAGUGAAUUUUGACCUAACAUAAAUGCAAGGGAAUUAUGCUUUUGUACUGGACUUGACGAUACAGAUAGAUUAUGCUAAAAUGUGACUCUGUUCAGGUGUGUAUGAUGAAGAACAUGGCCCAACGUUACGGAUUGUAUUGAAUUUUAAACAGCCAGAGGAAGGAGUGGUCUUAAUUUUAGUCUCGCUAGGGGCACUAGUGAAGGUAUUCUUGACAAAUGUUUGUGUUUCGUACCUGGGAUAUUUCUAUUAAUUUCCUUAGGGCAUUGUGGUUUGCCAUAUUUACAUUAGAUUACUAACACCUAUUGAGAGGCAUGCCAGGCAUACUGUGGUGGCUUUUUGUAUUAUGUUUCAUCUGCUUGUACAAAGGUUGAUUGGCAGGUCCACAAUGGGUGCUUUGGCGCGCAAGUCACUGAGAAGCUCCAUCUUUCUGUUGGAAGAUUCUCAAGAGGAAGAGUAUGCAAACCUCAGCCACAUUCAUGUGGGUCACACUGUUUGUUUGAGCUUUGAGAUGAACAAUAGAGGCAAAGAAUGCAGGCAAAACAUGACACGCUGUCCUAAAUUACAGCAGGUAUAAUAAGUAUUGAACACGUCACCAUUUUUCUCAGUAAAUAUAUUUCAUGACAUUGACAUGACAUUUUCACCAGAUGUAUGUUACAACCCAGGUAAUCCAUACAUACAAAUAAACCAAAACAAAUACGUUCAGAAAUUAAGUUAUGUGAAAUGACACAGGGAAAAAGUAUUGAACACGCUUACUGAUAUUUAUUUAAUACUUUGUACAAAAGCGUUUGUUGGUAAUGACAGCUUCAAGACGCCUCCUGUAUGGAGAAACUAGUGGUAUGCUUUGCUCAGGUGUGAUUUUGACCCAUUCUUCCACACAAACAGUUUUCAAAUCUUGAAGGUUCCGUGGGCCUCUUCUAUGAACUCUGAUCUUCAGUUCUUUCCAUAGAUUUUCAAUUGUAUCCAAAAGUCAGGUGAUUGGCUGGGCCAUUCUAGCACCUUUAUUUUCUUUCUCUGAAACCAAUUGAGAGUUCCCUUGGCUGUUCAUUGUCUUGCUGAAAUGUCCACCCUGGUUUCAUCUUCAUCAUCCUGGUAGAUGGCAGCAGAUUUUUAUGAAGGAUGUCUCGGUAAAUUUUAGCAUUCAUCCUUCCUUCAAUUAUGUGAAGUUUGCCAGUACCGUAUGCUGAAAAGCAGCCCCACACCAUGAUGUUCCCACCUCCAAACUUCACUGUUGGGGUGAUGUGCAGUGCCAUUUGUCCUCCAAACAUGGUGUGCAUUAUGGCAUCCAAAGAGUUCAAUUUUGCUCUCAUCUGACCAGACUAUAUUCUCCCAGUAUUUCACAGACUUGUCCAAAUGUUGUGCUGCAAACUUUAAACAAGCUUCAACAUGCUUUUUCUUCAGCAAUGGAGUCUUAUGUGGUGAGCAUGCAUACAGGCCAUGGCGGUUGAGUGCAUUACUUAUUGUUCUCUUUGUAACAACUGUACCUGCAAAUUCUAGGUCUUUCUGAAGCUCUCCACAAGUGGUCCUUGGCUUUUGGAAAACUAUUCUGAUAAUUCUUUUCACUCCUCUGUCAGAAAUCUUGCGAGGAGCACCUGGUCGUGGCCAGUUUAUGGUGAAAUGUUCUUUCCACUUCUGGAUUAUGGCCCCAGGAGUGCUCACUGGAACAUUCAGAAGUUUACAAAUGCGUCUGUAACCAAUGCCAUCAGUAUGUUUUGCUCAGCGGUGAUAAGGAGGGUCGAAUUGUGCUUGUUCGACCCUUUGUAAAACUGACAUCCUUAGAUUACAGAAAGUGGAGUUGGGAUGACAUAAAAGGACUUUUAGUCAAGUGUGGCUAUUCUUGCUGACAUUUGAAACAUAUAUGACGUCAGAGUUAGAUAAAUCUUAAAUAUAUAAAUCCUGUGCGAUGUUUGUGAAAUGGCUUCACUUUCAUCUUUGUGCUGUGAGUGAGCCCGAGAAUUGUUGCUGAAUAAAUAUACUGAUCUACAACUCUGGAGUCCUGAUAUAACUUGAGUGAAUUUUGACCUACCAUAAAUGCUAGGGAAUUAUGCUUUUGGACUGGACUUUGUGAUACAGAUAGAUUAUGCUAAAAUUUGACUCUUUUCAGGUGUGUAUGAUGAAGAACAUGGCCCAACAUUUAGGAUUUAAUUGAUUUUUAAACAGCCAGAGGAAGGAGUGGUCUUAAUUUUAGUCUCGCUAGGGGCACUAGUGAAGGUAUUCUUGACAAAUGUUUGCCGAUCUAUACAUAUGCCAUCGGUUCGAGGGCCAAGAGCCAAACCACCUUAAAGUUCAAGUAAAGUUCUUACAGGACUGCAGCCCUCAACACUUAACAGUUUAACCCAGCAGUAUCAACUAUAAGUAUAAACCCUCUCCAACCACCGACCCCCCCCCCAGAUUUCCCGAUACUUAGUCUUGAACAUACUCUCUUGCUGUGCUAUCAAUCUGCUAAAUUGUGUUUCGUACCUGGGAUAUUUCUAUUCAUUUCCUCAGGGCUAUGUGGUUUGCCAUGUUAGCAUUAGAUUACGAACACCUACUGAGAUGCAUGCCAGGCAUACUGUGUAUUAUGUUUCAUCUGCUUGUACGAAGGUUAAUUGUCAGGUCCACAAAGGGUGCUUUGGCGCACAAGUCACUGUGGGAAGAUUCUCAAGAGCAAGAGUAUGCAAAUCUCAGGCACAUUCAUGUGGGUCACACUGUUUGUUUGAACUUUGAGAUGAACAAUAGAGGCAAAGAAUGCAGGCAAAACAUGACACACUGUCUUAUCAAUCCAUCGAUCAAUCAAACUUUAUUUGUACGGCGCAUUUCAUACCAGGAGGUUACACAAUGCGCCUCACAGAAAGAAAAAUGGGGGGGGGGUUACGAACGCUUGUAGAGAGACAGAUUUCCCUGAGACAAGUAAACAGAUAAAUGUUACAGUGAGUGAUAAGCAAGAUCAAAGAGGUAUGUCUUAAGUGCAUGUUUAAAGGUCCUAUGUAUAAUGAGAGAUUCAAUAAAAGGUUAAUGUGAAUAUACACACAUUGGACACUGACAAAUGGGUUGGAAGCAACAACCUGUCCCUAAUGUUGACCUUGACAAGAAAGAUGUGAUUUUCCUUCAGUUGGGUUCACCAAAAAGGGUUCAACAUCCUUAAUACACAUAUAAACACCAUAAGAUACAUACAAACAUCAUUAUACACAUACAAACACCAUUAUACACAUACAAACACCAUUUAACACAUAUAAACACCAUUAGACACAUAUACACUCCUUUAUACACAUAUAAACACCAUUUUGCACAUAUUUGAAGCUGCGUUUUGUAAUGUAUACACUUAAGUUGGAUAAUGAAAGAAAAGCCAUACAAGGACAAACCUGGGAAAUGAAAAACUAAUAUUUUCAGUUCUGUAUCUCAUUGCCACACACACCCAUGCACAUUUUUGCCACAAGAAAGCACAGAGGUGCAGCAAUGACGAAGGUGUUGAAAGCCAUGAUCUGCUGUGCACAGUGACAUGACAAGGAUUUACCUGGAAAAACAGUGCACUUCUCUGUCACACCGUACGUCACACAAGGCUCUGAAACAAGCUAGGAGCGGAUGUUUAAUGACGAUAAAUAAAACAUCAUUAUGCACAUAUUUGAAGCUGCUUUUUGUAAUUUAUACACUUACGUUGGAUAAUGUAAGAAAAGCAGUCAGCCAAGACAAACCUGGGAAAUAAAAAAAAAAAUUCAGUUCUGCAUCUCAUUAUUUCAUGAAUUAUGUAACAAUAUUGGCGCCAACCAGCCACACACACACACACCCACGUUGAAAGCCAUGAUCUGCUGUGCACAGUGACAUGACAAGGAAUUACCCCUUGAAAAACAGUGCACUUCUCCGUCACCCAUCACACAUGAGAACAUAGUGUAACUUAUUUUUUGUAAUCAGAAAACAGAGAGGAUCAAACUAGGAUCUACUACUAAACACUACUUUUAACAACUAACUCGAACCCUAAUUAAAAAAAAAAAAUGCAUAAAUGAAUUGGCUACAACUAUAGACAUUGUUGUAGCCAGUCAAAUGUGACUGGGUCUUUGUAAUAUGGGGUAAGACUUCCAGUUACAAAUGCACCAUGUUUAGCGUUACGGAUUCCCCCUUUUUACCCCCAUUUACUUUCCUUUUAUCUGUCUCCUCCCUUAACGUAACGUCUAUGUCUCUUGCUUCAGAUGACCUAAUGGCUGUAUGUUCAGAUGUAUGGAUGCUCCUGUGACUCUGGCAGAGCUAAACUGAGCGAGCUAGGUGCUAACAAAACCAAGAUCAUGGGUUUAAUACCCAGGGAACACGUAUACUGAUGAAAAUGUAUACCUGUACUGUACAGUGAGUGUAGUGCGCACUGUGGAUGAAAGCAUCUGCUAAAUGGUUAUAUGGACAUGCACACCACUGUGAAGUAAACCCCACUUCAUCUGGAUAUGGGGACCCAGUGACAGGUGUGUGUGUGUGCAUUUGCUGGUUUGUUCACCACAUCUCUCUGAUAAGAGACGGAGCUAAAAGGGCUGGAAGGGAAUCAGAGCAAAGCCUUAGAACUGUUCUCUCCAUUUUCCAUCAGGCCACCCAUUCCUCUCUAUUCGAGUAGGCCAUUCUUCCCUAUUCGAGUAGGCCAUUCUUCCCUAUUCGGGUAGGCUAUUCUUCCCUAUUCCUAGCGCAGUUUAAAAAGGUGAGUUAUUCAGGAUUAAUUGCUUACAAUGUUUCAUUAUGCCUAUACACCCACAGGCAUAUAUUAAAGGAACACUAGGCAACAAUUUGACACUUUUUGAGGUAUGGUUUUAUAGGCAACUAGUUUUGGUAUAAUACAGUAUGUUUGCAAUGAGUUUGUAUUACAAUGAUGCGUGCAAUGUUGCAUGUUGUGUUUGAGACGGUUAAAGCAAGUGAGUAAAUUCAAAUGUUAACAUGGUACAUUUUAAUUGCCUCUUAAAAUUGGAAACUGGAAUGAUGCACAAACUCUGCUUUGGUCUGGCUGGUUAUUUUCUGUCUUCACUAAUUCAUGCUAACUGAUGCCUUUUUUCAUUCAGAUGGCAGACUUUCGUAAACUGGAAAACAUCCUCUCCCACCUACUCUUUCUAGGUCAGAGGCUUUCCUAUGUGGUUACGGAUAUUUUCCCUUUUACACAGACCUACGUUUUGUGCUACACGCCUUUUAACACUGUCUUUGAGUAUCUCUCAGCAUUCAUUCAACAAAGGUCAAAUGUUACACAAUGAGCCAGAGAGCACCCCACUCUCCCAGACAGACAGUGGGCAGGGUUCCCCUGCUGGUAAUCCGUCAGACCCUCGGACACUUCCAGAAGGGGGAACUCCUCCAGUAACGAAAUCUCUUCACAUGGACCUGAAGACUGCCUAAAAAGAGGAACCUGCCCGAGCAACCUUAGCCCCCUCCUGUGCACGUCCCUGCGUGCGUGUGUGUGUCUGUGUGUGUGUCUGUGUGUGUGUGUGUGCGUGUGUAUGUGUGCGUGCGUGUGUGUUUGAACAAGCCUGGAUUCAAAUCAAUCUAUAUUUAUACUUUUUUGUCAAAUGUUUUGAAAGUUGCUAUGGACAAAAGGGGUUGCCAAGUGCUUUAAACUUAUGAAGUCUUCAUAUUACUUAAAGCAGACCGCUGAGGGUUUGCAUCAUUAAUAGCCCAGUGAAGUAUCAGUCAUGGGGAAAGAAGCAAUACGGAAAAUACCACUGUUUUUUGUUGAUACUGUUGUUGUACAAGUUGUGAAAUAUACAUUUGUGUUUUUCGCAGGAUUGUCUGCGUCUGAGACUAUAAACCCUCUUUCUGCACUUGCAGAGCAGACCACUGUUGGCAUGUAUCACCUGACAGAUUCACUCAGGAGAGAGGACAGCAGUGUCACAUAUAAUCAGGAUUCACAAAAAGGAUAUCACACUUUAGAGAUAAACUGAUAGGCAUGUCCAUUCAUCUGCUGUCCACAGGUCUUCUUGCUCUGCUAUUGUGCCUUUCCACCAAGGGUUUCCCAAGACAAGUCAAUGGCAUUGAGUUCUACAGCGACCUAGAGAGGUCGCACCUCCUGCUGAAGGAAAGCAACUCUCAGACCAGUUUUGACUCCAAGGCCAAUGCUCAAGCUGAUAAUGGCCUGUUUGAAGAGGAUCCCGAAUUCAUGUCGGUUAUUCCAAAGGGCAAUUCUGGCACCAAACAUGGAUUGCCUGCACCUCCCAAGGAGGUAUCUGUCAAGAACAAGACUGAAGCUUUAAGAGGGCCUGCACUGAAACGAGCCAGACGGGAUAUUAUUGCAACCACCACAAAAGCUCCCACCACUACCACAACAGCACCCACAACAGCUACAGAAGCUACCACAACAGCUGCUGCAACCACAACAACAGAGCCAGCAACCACAACAACAGUGGCUGAAAAUACCACAACAGCUACAAAUACCAGCUCCCAGCAACAAAUACCAGCUCCCACCACUAACACAACAGCACACAUAACAGCUCCAGAAACUACCAAAACAGCUGCUACAACCACCACAGCAGCUCCAGCAACUACCACAACAGCUGCUGCAACCACCACAACAGCACCCACAACAGCUCCAGAAACUACCACAACAGCUGCUACAACAACCACAGCAGCUCCAGCAACUACCACAACAGCUGCUGCAACCACCACAACAGCACCCAUAACAGCUGCAGCAAUUAUCACAACAGCUCCCACCACUACCACAUUAGCGCCAACAACAGCUCCAGAAACUACCACAACAGCUGCUGCAACCACCACAAAAGCUCCAGCAACUACCACAACAGCUAAUGCAACCACCACAACAACUGCUGGAACCACAAUAACAGCUCCAGCAACCCCCAAAGCAGGUGCCACCACUACCACAACAGCACCCACAACAGCUCCAGAAACAACAGAUGCUGAAACCAUCAAAACAGCUCCAGCAACAACAACAACAGCUCCAGCAACCACCACAACAGCGGCUUCAACUACCACAAUAGCUAUUGCAAGUACCACAACAGCUGCAGCAACUACCACAACAACUCCCACCAAUACCACAACAGCACCCACAACAUCUCCAGAAACUACCAAAACAGCUGCUGCAACCACCACUACAGCUGCUGCAACUACAACAACGGAACCCACAACAGAACGCACAACAUCUGCCACCACUACCACAAAGGCCCCCACAAGAGCUGCUGCAACUUCCACAACAGGUUCCCAAACCACCACAACAGAUGCUGCUGCAACCACCACAACAGCACCCAUAACAGCUGCAGCAAUUACCUCAACAGCUACCACCACUACCACAACAGCACCCACAACAGCUCCAGAAACUACCACAACAGCUGCUGCAACCACCACAACAGCUCCAGCAACUACCAAAACAGUUGCUGCAACCACCACAACAGCUCCAGCAUCUACCACAACAGCUCCCACAACAGCUCCCACCAUUACCACAACAGCUACCACAACAUCUGCUGCAACCACCACAACAGCGGCUGCAACUACCACAACAGCUGCUGCAACCACCACAAUAGCUAUUGCAAGUACCACAACCGCUGCAGCAACUACCACAACUGCUCCUGCGAAUACAACAAUGGAAACCACAACAGAAUCCACAACAUCUGCCACCACUACCACAAAGGCCCCCACUACAGCUGGUGAAAGUUCCACAUCAGCACCCACAACAGGUUCCCAAACCACCACAACAGAUGCUGCUGCAACCACCACAACAGUUCCUGCAACUACAACAAUGGAAACCACAACAUCUGCCGCCACUACCACAAAGGCCCCAACAACAGCUGCUGCAACUUCCACAACAGCACCCACAACAGGUUCCCAAACAACCACAACAGAUGCUGCUGCAACCACCACAACAGCACCCAUAACAGCUGCAGCAAUUACCACAACAGCUCCCCCCACUACCACAACAGCUGCUACAACUACCACAACAGCUGCAGAACCUUCCACAACAGCACCCACAACAGCUCCAGAAACUACCACAACAGCUGCUGCAACUACCACAACAGCUGUUCCAACUACCACAACAGCUGCUGAAACCACAACAACAGCUCCAGCAACCACCACAACAGCUGCUGCAACUACCACAAUAGCUAUUGCAAGUACCACAAUAGCUAUUGCAAGUACCACAACAGCUGCAGCAACUACCACAACAGCUCCUGCAACUAAAACAACAGAAGCCACAACAGAACCCACAACAUCUGCCACCACUACCACAAAGGCCCCCAAUACAGCUGCUGCAACUUCCACAACAGCUCCCACAACAGGUUCCCAAACCACCACAACAGAUGCUGCUGCGACCACCACAACAGCACCCAUAACAGCUGCAGCAAUUACCACAACAGCUCCCACCACUACCACAACAGCACCUACAACAGCUCCAGAAACUACCACAACAGCUGCUGCAACCACCACAACAGCUGCUGCAACCCCCACAACAGCGGCUGAAACCACCACAACAGCUCCAGCAACCACCAAAACAGCUGCUGCAACUACCACAACAGCUCCAGCAACCACCACAAUAGCUAUUACAAGUACCACAACAGCUGCAGCAACUACCACAACAGCUCCCGCCUCUACCACAACAGCACCCACAACAGCUCCAGAAACAACCACAACAGCUGCUGCAACUACCACAACAGCUGCUCCAACUACCACAACAGCUGCCGAACCCAAAACAACAGCUCCAGCAACCACCACAACAACGGCUGCAACUACCACAACAGCUGCUGCAACCACCACAAUAGCUAUUGCAAGUACCACAACAGCUCCGGCAACUACAACAACAGAAGCCACAACAGAACCCACAACAUCUGCCACCACUACCACAAAGACCCCCACAACAGCUGCAGCAACUACCACAACAGCUCCCCUCACUACCACAUCAGCUCCUACAAUUACCACUACCACAAAGACCCCCACAACAGCUGCUGCAACUUCAACAACAGCUCCCACAAAAGGUUCUCAAACCACCAAAACAGAUGCUACUGCAACCACCACAACAGCACCCACAACAGCUGCAAAAACUACCAGAACAGUUACAGCAACAACCACCACAGCUCCUGCAACCACCACAUCAGCGGUUUCAACUACCACAACAGCUGCUGCAACCAAUACAAUAGCUAUUGCAACUACCAAAACAGCUGCAGCAAUUACCACAACAGCUCCCACCACUACCACAACAGCUCCUGCAACUACAACAACGGAAGCCACAACAGAACCCACAACAUCUGCAACCACUACCACAACAGCACCAACAACAGCUCCCACCACUACCACAACAGCACCCACAACAGCUGCUACAACCUCCACAACAGCUGCUGCAACCACCACAACAGAGGCUGCAACUACGACAACAGCUGCUGCAACUACCACAAUAGCUAUUUCAAGUACCACAACAGCUCCUGCAACUACAACAACAGAAGCCACAACAGAACCCACAACAUCUGCCGCCACUACCACAAAGGCCCCAACAACAGCUGCUGCAACUUCCACAACAGCACCCACAACAGCUCCCAACACUACCACAACAGCACCCACAACAGCUCAAGAAACUACCACAACAUCUGCUGAAACCACCACAACAGCGGCUGCAACUACCACAACAGCUGCUGAAACCACUACAAUUGCUAUUGCAAGUACCACAACAGUUGCGGCAACUACCACAACAGCUCCUGCAACUACAAAAACGGAACCCACAACAGAACGCACAACAUCUGCCACCACUACCACAAGAGCUGCUGCAACUUCCACAACAGGUUCCCAAACCACCACAACAGAUGCUGUUGCAACCACCACAACAGCACCCAUAACAACUGCAGCAAUUACCUCAACAGCUACCACCACUACCUCAACAGCACCCACAACAGCUCCAAAGACUACCACAACAGCUGCUGCAACCACCACAACAGCUCCAGCAUCUACCACAACAGCUCCCACAACAGCUCCCACCACUACCAAAACAGCACCCACAACAGCUCCCACCACUACCACAACAGCACCCACAACAGCUCCAGAAACUACCACAACCGCUGCUGCAACCACCACAACAGCUGCUGAAACCACUACAACAGCUCCAGCAACCACCACAACAGCUGCUGCAACUACCACAACAGCUCCAGCAACUACCACAACAGCGGCUGCAACUACCACAACACCUGCUGCAGCAACCACAAUAGCUAUUGCAACUGCCCCAACAGCUGCAGCAACUACCACAACAGCUGCCCUCACUACCACAUCAGCUCCUACAAUUACAACAACGGAAGCCACAACACAACCCACAACAUCUGCCACCAUUACCACAAAGGCCCCCACAAUAGAUGCUGCAACUUCAACAACAGCUCCCACAAAAGGUUCUCAAACCACCAAAACAGAUGCUACUGCAACCACCACAACAGCACCCACAACAGCUGCAAAAACUACCAGAAACAGUUACAGCAACAACCACCACAGCUCCUGCAACCAACCACAUCAGCGGUUUCAACUACCACAACAGCUGCUGCAACCAAUACAAUAGCUAUUGCAACUACCAAAACAGCUGCAGCAAUUACCACAACAGCUCCCACCACUACCACAACAGCCC